Molecule: ribosomal RNA, 393 nt
Filed under: uncultured bacterium
Lineage: Bacteria
Description: bacterial SSU rRNA
Rfam family: Bacterial small subunit ribosomal RNA
Source: RNAcentral
GACGAACACUGGCGGCGUGCCUAACACAUGCAAGUCAGGGAGAAAUUCGCCGCAAGGCGGAAAGUACACCGGCGGACGGGUGAGUAACACGUAGGCAACUUACCUUGUGGACGGGAAUAACCCCGGGAAACCGGGACUAAUACCCGAUGGAGUCUCGCAGAAGCAUUUCUGCGGGAUGAAAGGUUCCGAUGCAAGUCGGAAUGUCACAAGAUAGGCCUGCGUCCCAUUAGAUAGUUGGCGGGGUAACGGCCCACCAAGUCGACGAUGGGUAGCUGGUCUGAGAGGACGAUCAGCCACACUGGAACUGAGACACGGUCCAGACUUCUACGGAAGGCAGCAGUGAGGAAUAUUGCUCAAUGGGCGAAAGCCUGAAGCAGCGACGCCGCGUGAGGG